GUGUGUGGACAUGCAGAUGGAGCACAGGAUGAGCCUGUUUACUCACUGUGCUGCAAUCUGAAUCCAUAUUGACUAAGUACAGGGGCAGAUCUGUGCAGGGGAGUGGGGUGUGAGAGGCAAGGACAGACUGAGAAAAUGUGCAAUAAACUUUAUAUUGAACAGUUAUUUCUGACUGGGAAGUUUGCAACGUCUGCAGCAUCAGAGAGACAGGGCAGAAGAAAGUAGGUGAGAGAGAAACAAAUUCAGAAAAGCCAGGACCUGGGAGCUUUUCUCGGCAACUGGCGUAAUAAUGCAAAAGCACCAAUGGUGAAUUGUCUGAAAUGCAGUUCAGUGCCUGCCCUGCUCCUUAGCACUCAGGAAGAAAAGUUGGCAAUUUCUGAUGUUGGAGAAUGGCUUUCUUCCCAAAGGAACAUGACUGUUAAUAUCAUUUUUGGUAAACGACUUUUAAGUUCCAGUCCCUACUUUCACUUCUUUCUUUAGGAUCCCAGAACCUAAGGUGUUUCUUCACCCCGUCUCACGAAAUAAAAUCAAGAAAUGAAACUUGCCAGGCAGACAAAACAGCAAACUUUCUGCCUGGGGAAACACACAGCUUUUCUGGGAGUCCUAAAGCAGGCUCCAGCUAAAAAAAAUUCCUGUCCAGCCCUGCUCAGAGUGUGCAAGCCAUUAACAGGAGAGAGAGGAGAGACCCUGAAACACACGCCACCUAUCUUUGUGGGGAGGGAUAAUUGAAGAGCACCAAACGUGAGCAUCAUGUGGAAACGUGAUCGCCAAGUUUCUCUCUGGGAAAGGAUCUGGGAUAGAUUAUACCUUGAAGUCUCCGCAAACGCUUUAGUGGAAGAAA
This is a long non-coding RNA of Gavialis gangeticus (Gharial), 841 nucleotides long. RefSeq lists it as uncharacterized. The record is from RefSeq and is a predicted model, not a curated record. The transcript has 2 exons. Lineage: Eukaryota; Metazoa; Chordata; Crocodylia; Gavialidae.